RNAcentral lists this ribosomal RNA (492 nucleotides) under uncultured bacterium. RNAcentral's name for it is "partial 16S ribosomal RNA". It matches the Rfam family "Bacterial small subunit ribosomal RNA", at positions 29 to 507 of the family's 1533-position model. The record is from RNAcentral.
AGUGAACGCUGGCGGUAGGCCUAACACAUGCAAGUCGAACGGCAGCACAGUAAGAGCUUGCUCUUACGGGUGGCGAGUGGCGGACGGGUGAGGAAUACAUCGGAAUCUACUUUUUCGUGGGGGAUAACGUAGGGAAACUUACGCUAAUACCGCAUACGACCUACGGGUGAAAGCAGGGGAUCUUCGGACCUUGCGCGAUUGAAUGAGCCGAUGUCGGAUUAGCUAGUUGGCGGGGUAAAGGCCCACCAAGGCGACGAUCCGUAGCUGGUCUGAGAGGUUGAUCAGCCACACUGGAACUGAGACACGGUCCAGACUCCUACGGGAGGCAGCAGUGGGGAAUAUUGGACAAUGGGCGCAAGCCUGAUCCAGCCAUACCGCGUGGGUGAAGAAGGCCUUCGGGUUGUAAAGCCCUUUUGUUGGGAAAGAAAAGCAGCAGGUUAAUACCCCGCUGUCCUGACGGUACCCAAAGAAUAAGCACCGGCUAACUUCGUG